AGGCCGCCGCCGCCGACCGGCUGCCGAUCUUGCUCGAGCUGUUCGUCUAGCCUGCUGCUAGCUGGAGUAGAUCUCAAUGCUUGUUAAUUCAGGACUGCUCCAGCUGUUCGUCUAGUCUGCUAGCCUUCUUAGUCCACCUUGUAUAGAGUAUGUUCUUGCUGGUAGCUGGUUAGAGAAUGUUUUUGCAAGUUAGCUGGAUGUUUGCUUUGGAUCUGACAUUGUUUUUAACUGAUGGACUGGAGUGGAGAUUUACAUGCACUUGUAUACAUAUUGCAGAUAAAUUCGUUUGUUCUAAAUGCAAUUGAGAGAUUCUUGCACUCAGAUUCCUCUUAUGUGAAUGUGCUUUCUGUUUUUUGCGGGAACUUCUAUGAAUCGGCUCGACCUCGGAUUCAUUUUCGGCCAAGAAAUCCGGAUUUUGGCCAUCUCGGCCUCGGACGAAACAUAGCUUUCAGCCGAGAAGUGGAUUUUGAUCAAAUUUCCUCCAAUUUUUGGUUAAAUGUUGGUAAAAAUUCUAACCAAUUUUUUUGAAAUAACCAAAAUUUGGCCAUCUCGGUGUAGGACGAAAAGAGUCCCAAACCCAAAGAAGUCCCAAACCAAAAACUCUGGUUCACCCCUAUUGUAUAGAUGACCAGUAGAAAUGACCAUGCGUUGCAUCGGGCAAGAAAAAAAAUACAAAACCUUCUUGUUAUAUCAUUAUGCGGCAUUAAUUGUAAUAAACAUGUAUAAUAAUGUUAAAUGUUUUUUAAAAAAAUAUUAGGUACUGCUUACAUAAAAAUGGAUGAAUUUUUUAUAAUAGUUAUAUUUUUUGUUAAAUUUUUAAAUUUCUUGUAAAAGAUAAAUUGUUAAACAUUUUUUUCAAAAGGAUCUUUUUAUUGUGGGGUAAUAAUGUUGUUUUUUUGAUGGGUAAUGGCAUUUUUAUGUAGAACAUAUUUCCAUAAAUAUUUUUUGAAUCAUAUUUUCUUAUUUUUUUGCACAACUUGCUUCAUGUGCCAUUAUGCAUCAUUUUUAUAUGGAUUUUUAAUAAUUGUUGAUGAUAAGUUAAAUGUUAAAUUAUUUUAAAAAUUGAUGUAUGCAUAAAAAUUGUAAUACUUUCUAGGAAGUAUUGUUUUUAUGAAUUUUUUGCUUUUCUUUGAAAAGGAACUUUUUAAAAUAAUUUUUUUCUUUAACAUUUUAUGAAUUUUGGGCUUGACCCAAACAACUCGCAGUACAAUAACAAUUGACGGUAUUAAAAAAACAUUAUCGUUUGGUACAGAAAAUGCAGCAUCAUCUCUUUCGUCUCUCCCGUUCCCAUUUCAUUUUUCGCAUUGGCUACCUGUUUCCUCUGCAUCGAGGCUACACCAAACCCGCACGGCCCGAGCGAAAAAACAUCACCACACCACGAGCAUUGGCUCGGCUGUCUCCUUGCCCACGAAGUCGCCGCCACUGCCGCCGCCACCACCCACGCUGGCCGCUUCCGACGACCUACGGCUCCGCGCAGCACGCUCCCGAGCUCCCCACGGUCCGCGCGUCCCUCCCCUCCGGCCAAAAUCUUCGCUCCCGUCCUCUACCGCCCGCUCGGAACCACCCUGUGGCUAGGGUUUCGGGCAGUGCUGCACCGGCGCAUCUCCAGCGGCCUUAGGUUAGUCCCUCCGACGCAUCUCCAGCGGCCUUAGGUUAGUCCCUCCUUCCUUCUUGGCUGGGAUCCGCCACCGUGCCUUACCUCUUCGUCGCCCCCCUGUUGCCUUCCUGCUGCUCUCCAACUCCCCCUCUCUCAGUUCGUCUCUCUCUGUUUUCUGCAGGAGCUCCGUGGCGUCGAGUCUCUCCGACGUUUGCUCACCAGCAGCGGACGGACCUCGCCGGCGACGUGCAGGUCAUAUGCCAUGGUAAUGAACUUCCUGCAGUUCAGUUGCGUGAUUUUGCCUAUAUGGUAUUUUCAUAAAUUCAUAAAUAAGUCAAAAGGUAUUAGAAUCUAGGUCUUUAUUGUGAGAUGCAACUAAAAGAGCUUUUACUGUAGGCUACUACAAUUAUUUUCUGUAUUCCUCUGCUUGCCAAGUUAUUAAGCGUAGAGAAACGUAUGCACUAAUCAGGCUAGAGAGACUUACACACUACAAAAAUAUUUUUCUGCUCCUACUAGUUACACCGUUGCUCUCCUCUGUGUUCAUGUAACUCCACAUAUCUUUCUGCUUCACAAGUUAUUGUGCACCUUUAGCUGUAUAACUUACACACAAGGGCCGGGUGAUUUCGCCACAGGCUCUAGCUAGCAGCCACAAGUCCAGGAGCAAGCAGCAAGAAGCGAUAGCCACAAGUCCAGGAGCUAGCUAGCGAUCCGGGUGUUUUCGCGGCCACCACAAGAGCAAGAAGCACAAGUCCAGGAGCCAUUGCGCCAUGGUAGGACCUCGAGCUCCUGGCCCGCUUCCAUGUAACCUUCAUGACCUCGCCAAGCCUCGAUCUAGCUGGCCACCGACCGGAUCCGCCGGAUCCCACCCUCCCCGACUCGUUCCCGGCUUUCCCUUCGCGUGACAUCGUCGUUCAUCACCAACUUGUUGCCGCUGCUGCUCCUAUUUGUCAGAGAUCGAGGAGGACCUUGCUGCGUUGACCACGCCCCCGUCGUCUGUUUCCUCCCACUCGAUCUGCCCACAUGGACCCAACCUGUUGCCAGCCCGCGAUCGAGCCGAGCAAGCUAGCCCACGCACGCACCUCACCUCGCCGCUGCACCGCCCCUCACCUCGCUGCUGCAGAGUCUGGAUACAGUAGACUAAAUACAGUAAAAUACAGAAGAAACUCAGAUCACUGUAUUUGUUCCUCGCAAUGGACCUCAAUAACAUGGUCGGAAUAAUCCAUUUUUUCCGCUGAUUUACAGCACAAGAUCCUUCAUUAUUGACAAAUGAGUUCUGCAGACCGGCUAGCACAGAAUCAAAAUUACUUUCUUCAGGUAUACUAUCGUGACCAGAUAGAUGUUGACGCCGCAGCAGGUGACUGCAUCCAUUGUUGUCCCAUGGAGUCGUCUCCAUGUUCAGCAAAAUUUUCAUUAACAGUGUGAAAUUGUCUAGAUUCUGGAAUGGUUCCAUUAUCCACUUUCGGGGUAAUUAAAUCAGUGUUUGCAUUAUAAAAUACCCGAUGUUGCUCUGCAAAAUGAUUUUAUCAACACAAAGAAGUUUUUUGAGAUGAAAAUAGGAAGUAAUGAGAAAAGAAGAAAUUUGUAUGACAUUUAGUGGACCAGAUGAGUGCAGAAAUCUUACCAUGAAUAUCUGAAUCGUCAUUCGUGUUUGCAUCAUUGUCAUCUGCAACACCAUUCGGGAGGACAUUACGGAUAACAUAAUCUGCUGGCAGCUUUCUCCUCCCCCAACUCAUACCGCUGGAACCAAGGCUAUAGGCGGGGACGAACGCAUCAGGGUGCUCUUCCAGGCGGCGGCGAGGAGGCUGGGGGUGACCAAGAUGGAAGGAGGGACGUCGUGGGUUGUGAGCGGGCGGUAGAGGACUGGAGCGGGCAGCUGGCCGGAGGGGAGGGAGGCGAGGACCGUGGGGAGCUCGGUGGCGUGCUGCGUGGUGCCGGAGGUCGGGUGGUGGCGGCGGCAACUUUGUGGGCGAGAGGGAGAGGAGGCGAUCCCGAACGAAACUUGACUACGUCUCGACAUUGACAAUACAAUGAUUCGAUUGCCCGUCGGAGUUGAGGACAAGGGCGCGGAUCAUUGCAGAGGAACGUGGGGACAGAGUGGAACGUCGAGGCAAAGCGUGAUCUUCAACUUGUUGGCGCCAUCUUUUGAUAGGAAGAAGAGGGAAGAGGUUCAGUUUGUUAAUCAACAGCUCCCUUUUCGUAGUAGUAACAAUCAUCUACAAUUAUGGGCAACAAAUUUUCGCCGAGCUUCCCAUUUCCGCCUCCAUUCUAUGUAAAUAAUUAAGGUACUUAUUAGCUUUUAUUGUUGCCCUAACUUUAGCCACAUCAAUUGAAUAUUGUUGUAUUUUUGUUCCAUCAACCUGAAAAGCAACAUAAACAUAAUAUCAAGAGAAAUCCGCUCAGGUUUUCUAUAUAUACAAAUAUCAUGAAAGAGAGACUACUUCGAUACAUUUCAAUUUUCUCUACAAAUAACACCUUUGUACUUUAGUGAUCUAUAAAAUGUCUAAUACUAGUUUAUAGAGGAAGUACUUAAUACGGUCAAUAAGAUUAAGUUAUGUAACUUGAAAAUUAUUACCAUGAAAGCCUCUUUCAAGAGAAGAGAGAGAGAGAUCAUUCCAUAUGUCGUAACGACAGUUGACCUACCAUUAUUUUCUCUCUAUAUAGAAAUAUGGAGUACUCCCUCAGUUCCUAAAUAUAAGUUUUUUUAAAAGAUUUCACUAGGAGUCUAUAUACAGAGCAAAAUGAGUGAAUCUACACUUUAUAGUAUGCCUAUAUGCAUCCGUAUGUAAUGUGGAACCUCUAGAAAGACUUAUAGAAAUUACACCAAGGUCCCUUGGGAACUGGCCAAUUCCAUCAUCCUGAGGAGGCCUUGGCGUGUUGCUGCCGCUACUCAAUAGCCAUCGCUGCAUGGGUCUGUCACUACCUAGAUGAUGUGGCAAUUAGGAAGUCACUGUACCUAGGCCCCUGGAUGACCUAUACCCUUGAAGCCAGGUCAUGAUCGUCGGAAAGAGAAUAUAUCUCGAAGCCGAUGCACUGGAUCCCACAAUGAUGACGAGCAUCGCUGCGACGAGGAUGGUGGCAAAGGACAGAACUCCAUUACACAACUAUCGUUCUUGCCUCAACGUCAGCACCUGGAACCACCAAACGACCGCCCCUGUAGAACGACGACCACAUCAAACUUGCACUCUUCCACGCCAUUUGCAAAAGCUACCAACUUGGUGGAUGAGAAGACGAGGAACUUUAUUUCACUUGGCGACAUCGUCCACCCCCCCCCCCCUCCACCGCGCCACCCAUCCGAUCCGACCCAACAAUCUAGAGGCACAACCUUCUAGAACUCAUCAACGGGAGAGAUCAAGGAGAACAUGCAUCAAGCAGGUCACCGCCUUGACGCGAGAAGAACCAUAGGAUCGCCUCCUUAUAAAAGCAAAUUUAGCAGUUCCCAUGCCGCCGAUAAGAUUAGCGAAGAGAAGGCGACCACGACGUCGCACACUCGCACAUACCCAGAACGCCUAGAUCAGACCCAGAUGCCCGAUUCGAACCCGUCGUAGCUGCAAUGUCGAUGCACAGAUGUCGAGCCGCACGCCUGUGCCUCACCGCAUUGGCUCGUGACAUGACCCCGACCACUAGGGCCGCGGCAUCUUGCGUCUCAAUCUCCCGGAAGCAACCAAAGGCAUCGGAGAGGUUCAUCCACGACCUAGAUUUUUUGUGAGGAACCCCUGAAGCUAACGAACAAUGCAUGCUCUGCCAGAUCCUCGCCACCUGAAAGAUUGCCGCGAGUAUACCAACGCUGGGCGUCGCUCUAGUUCCCGCGCGUCCACGAACCACCGUCAUCACCCCAACAGCUCCCAUAGUCACCUACCAUCCGCCCCAGACUACCUUUGGUAGCUUGUCCCACCGUCCUGGUGAGGGCCGACGGUAGUGUCGACGAGGGGAGCCAGGGAUGGGGGAGGAGGCUGGCGGUGCGAGGUGUUGCCUUGGGGAUCGACACGGGAGGGGUCAUGGGAGAGCAUCACAUUUGGGAACCACUCUGGAUCUACAUAGAGUAUGGGUUUUCUGUUAAGAAUGCUUAUGCACUAUCUAUUUGUUACAUUUUUGUUUUGUGAAACAAUUGCUCAAACUCGUAAACUUUCAGCAAAAGCAGAAAUCCUGUAAACUAAUAGAAAUUACACCAAGGUCCCUUGGGAACUGGCCAAUUCCAUCAUCCUGAGGAGGCCUUGGCGUGUCGCUGCCGCUACUCAAUAGCCAUCGCUGCAUGGGUCUGUCACUACUUAGAUGAUGUGGCAAUUAGGAAGUCACUGUACCUAGGCCCCUGGAUGACCUAUACCCUUGAAGCCGGGUCAUGAUCGUCGGAAAGAGAAUAUAUCUCGAAGCCGAUGCACUGGAUCCCAUAAUGAUGACGAGCAUCGCUGCAACGAGGAUGGUGGCAAAGGACAGAACUCCAUUACACAACUAUCGUUCUUGCCUCAACGUCAGCACCUGGAAUUUAUAUACGGAGUCUAUAUACGGAGCAAGAUGAGUGAAUCUACACUUUAUAGUAUGUCCAUAUGCAUCCGUAUGUAGUGUGGAAUCUCUAGAAAGACUUAUAUUUAGGUACGGAGGGGGUACUUGUGAAGCACGCACUUACAGUAGUGUAUACGUAAUUACGUAGCCUUCACAAGUCUGAAAUACCCUGCUCCGUCAAAGAUAUUUUCUAAGGCUCUGGAACAUUCCAGACCCUUCCGAUCCUCACGCUCGCGCUUGCGCUUGCGCUUGCGCCGCCGUCCAAACCAGGGUCUGGACCAAAUUAUUCGCUCCGGUUAGCCGCCGAAUUGAUCCCGCACACCGUCCGGCGACCAAGCAGCGGCGAGCCGCCACGCGUCUUGUGGCGUGACAGGUGACGCAUUUCCGCACCACACGUUUCGUCUCCGGUCGGCCGCGCUAUGCACGACGGAAAUAUCCCAGCUAUCUGCCAAACUAAUACUCUAUCGAGCUCGAUCCAAUCCGUCACGUCGUGAACGUCGCGGUGGCUUCCAGCGACUGGUCCACAGACGCUAAAGGUAGGCCAACCCACACCAACUGGCCACACACGUAAGCACCAUCCGCAGCAACACGCACGCCACCUCAUCCUGACUGGCUGCCCAACCUAUAUAUUCUCCCCCGCCGAUCCAUCCAUCCAUUCUUCCUCCUACCGAGCUCCCAGAGAACAUACUAUCAAGAGAGCAUCAAUCAAAGUCAGCAACAAAUCCAUCUCCAUGGGAGCGGGCAUGGUGUCGCUGGCGCUGUCCCUCAGCACGGACUCCUCGGCGUCCACCACGACGUCGGACAACUCCUCCACCGGUGCGCCGGCGACGACGGCGGCAAGGAAUAAGGUGCGGCGUGGGAGAGUGGUGGCGACGUCGGGGGAGGGAGAGUUCGUGUGCAGGACGUGCGGCCGCGCCUUCGAGACGUUCCAGGCGCUGGGCGGGCACCGGACCAGCCACCUCCGCGGCCGCCAUGGGCUGGAGCUCGGCGUCGGCGUCGCCAGGGCCAUCAAGGAGAGGAAGCGGCAAGAGGACAUGGAGCAGCACGAUUGCCACAUCUGCGGGCUGGGCUUCGAGACGGGCCAGGCGCUCGGCGGCCACAUGCGGCGGCACCGCGAGGAGAUGGCGCUCGACCGGUGGGUCGCGCUGUCGGAUCAGGAGGCAGGGCACCAGGCCGCCGCGGCCGACCGGCUUCCCGUCUUGCUCGAGCUGUUCGUCUAGCCUGCUGCUAGCUGGACCUCAAUGCUUGUUAAUUCAGGCCUGCUCGAGCUGUUCGUAUAGUCUGCUAGCCUUCUUAGUCCAGGACUUGUGUAUAAAUUUCUUCAGAAUCAUAUAGGUUCAUUGUUCCACCUUGUAUAGAGUAUGUUCUUGCUGGUUGCUGGUUAGAGAAU
This 7484-nucleotide long non-coding RNA is filed under the name Hordeum vulgare. Its description in RNAcentral is "long non-coding RNA (HVUL_LNC014239)". Lineage: Eukaryota; Viridiplantae; Streptophyta; Magnoliopsida; Poales; Poaceae. The record is from RNAcentral.